RNAcentral lists this ribosomal RNA (2155 nucleotides) under Plasmodium praefalciparum (nom. ined.). RNAcentral describes it as "SSU rRNA". It matches the Rfam family "Eukaryotic small subunit ribosomal RNA". The record is from RNAcentral. Lineage: Eukaryota; Apicomplexa; Aconoidasida; Haemosporida; Plasmodiidae.
AACCUGGUUGAUCUUGCCAGUAGUCAUAUGCUUGUCUCACAGAUUAAGCCAUGCAAGUGAAAGUACAUAUGUAAGUAAUAUAUUGAAACUGCGAACGGCUCAUUAAAACAGUUAUAAUCUACUUGAUGUUUUUAAUAUAAGGAUAACUACGGAAAAUCUGUAGCUAAUACUUGUGAAAAUACCUUUUGAUAUAUACAUAUAUAUAUAUAUGUAUGUAUCAUUAAGGUAUGUAUUUGUUAGAUAUAAGAAUAAAAUAAAUAUAAUUGAAUUAUAACAAAGAAGAAACACAUAAAAUAUGUGUAUUAUCAAUCGAGUAUCUGACCUAUCAGCUUUUGAUGUUAGGGUAUUGACCUAACAUGGCUAUGACGGGUAACGGGGAAUUAGAGUUCGAUUCCGGAGAGGGAGCCUGAGAAAUAGCUACCACAUCUAAGGAAGGCAGCAGGCGCGUAAAUUACCCAAUUCUAAAAAAGAGAGGUAGUGACAAGAAAUAACAAUACAAUAUCGAAAAAUGAUUUUGUAAUUGGAAUGAUAGGAAUUUACAAGGUUCCUAGAGAAACAAUUGGAGGGCAAGUCUGGUGCCAGCAGCCGCGGUAAUUCCAGCUCCAAUAGCAUAUAUUAAAAUUGUUGCAGUUAAAACGUUCGUAGUUGAAUAUUAAAGAAUCCGAUGUUUCAUUUAAACUGGUUUGGGAAAACCAAAUAUAUUAUAUAUUUUGCUUUGUUCAAAAUAAGGUUUUCUAAUAAAUUAUGUUUUUAUCAGAUAUGACAGAAUCUUUUUUAAAAUCUCUUCAAUAUGCUUUUAUUGCUUUUGAGAGGUUUUGUUACUUUGAGUAAAAUUAAGUGUUCAUAACAGACGGGUAGUCAUGAUUGAGUUCAUUGUGUUUGAAUACUACAGCAUGGAAUAACAAAUAUGAAUAAGCUAAUUAUUUUUUUUUUUCAUUAUUUUUUUUGAUAUUCUUAUUAGCUUAGUUACGAUUAAUAGGAGUAGCUUUGGGGGCAUUCGUAUUCAGAUGUCAGAGGUGAAAUUCUAAGAUUUUCUGGAGACGGACUACUGCGAAAGCAUUUGCCUAAUCUAUUUCCAUUAAUCAAGAACGAAAGUUAAGGGAGUGAAGACGAUCAGAUACCGUCGUAAUCUUAACCAUAAACUAUACCGACUAGGUGUUGGAUGAAUAUAAAAAAUAUAUAAAUAUGUAGCAUUUCUUAGGGGAUGUUGAUUUUAUAUUAGAAUUGCUUCCUUCAGUACCUUAUGAGAAAUCAAAGUCUUUGGGUUCUGGGGCGAGUAUUCGCGCAAGCGAGAAAGUUAAAAGAAUUGACGGAAGGGCACCACCAGGCGUGGAGCUUGCGGCUUAAUUUGACUCAACACGGGAAAACUCACUAGUUUAAGACAAGAGUAGGAUUGACAGAUUAAUAGCUCUUUCUUGAUUUCUUGGAUGGUGAUGCAUGGCCGUUUUUAGUUCGUGAAUAUGAUUUGUCUGGUUAAUUCCGAUAACGAACGAGAUCUUAACCUGCUAAUUAGCGGCAAGUACACUAUAUUUUUAUUUGAAAUUGAAUAUAGGUAAUUGUACAUUUAUUCAGUAAUCAAAUUAGGAUAUUUUUAUUAAAAUAUAUCCUUUUCCCUGUUCUACGAUAAUAAUUUGUUUUUUACUCUAUUUCUCUCUUCUUUUAAGAAUGUACUUGCUUGAUUAAAUAAAGCUUCUUAGAGGAACAGUGUGUAUCUAACACAAGGAAGUUUAAGGCAACAACAGGUCUGUGAUGUCCUUAGAUAAACUAGGCUGCACGCGUGCUACAAUGAUAUAUAUAACAAGUUGUUAAAAAUGUACUUAUAAAUAAGUGUGUACAGUUUUUCCUGUACUGAAAAGUAUAGGUAAUCUUUAUCAGUAUAUAUCGUAAUUGGGAUAGAUUAUUGCAAUUAUUAAUCUUGAACGAGGAAUGCCUAGUAAGCAUGAUUCAUUAGAUUGUGCUGACUACGUCCCUGCCCUUUGUACACACCGCCCGUCGCUCCUACCGAUUGAAAGAUAUGAUGAAUUGUUUGGAUAUGAAUUAAAAUAAUGAAAUUUUAUAUUUCUGAUUUUUUCUAGAAGAACUGUAAAUCCUAUCUUUUAAAGGAAGGAGAAGUCGUAACAAGGUUUCCGUAGGUGAACCUGCGGAAGGAUCAUUA